This 431-nucleotide ribosomal RNA is filed under the name uncultured bacterium. RNAcentral describes it as "partial 16S ribosomal RNA". It matches the Rfam family "Bacterial small subunit ribosomal RNA", at positions 29 to 507 of the family's 1533-position model. The record is from RNAcentral.
AACGAACGCUGGCGGCAGGCUUAACACAUGCAAGUCGAACGCCCCGCAAGGGGAGUGGCAGACGGGUGAGUACCGCGUGGGAAUCUACCCAUCCCUACGGAAUAACGCAUGGAAACGUGUGCUAAUACCGUAUACGCCCUACGGGGGAAAGAUUUAUCGGGGAUGGAUGAGCCCGCGUUGGAUUAGCUAGUUGGUGGGGUAAAGGCCCACCAAGGCGACGAUCCAUAGCUGGUCUGAGAGGAUGAUCAGCCACAUUGGGACUGAGACACGGCCCAAACUCCUACGGGAGGCAGCAGUGGGGAAUAUUGGACAAUGGGCGCAAGCCUGAUCCAGCCAUGCCGCGUGAGUGAUGAAGGCCUUAGGGUUGUAAAGCUCUUUCACCGGAGAAGAUAAUGACGGUAUCCGGAGAAGAAGCCCCGGCUAACUUCGUG